RNAcentral lists this ribosomal RNA (464 nucleotides) under uncultured bacterium. RNAcentral describes it as "partial 16S ribosomal RNA". It matches the Rfam family "Bacterial small subunit ribosomal RNA", at positions 28 to 507 of the family's 1533-position model. The record is from RNAcentral.
GACGAACGCUGGCGGCGUGCUUAACACAUGCAAGUCGAACGGAAAGGCCCCUUUUUUGUUACUCGCUUGGCUAACGGGUGUGUAACUCGUGCGUAACCUACCUUUCCCUUCCUUUUAACUUCCUUCAACUGGCUCUAAUUCCUACUAGGUAUCCUUUCUUCCUGCUUGGUGUUGGUAGGCUUCUGCGGUUUUGGAUGGACUCGCGGCUUAUCAGCUUGUUGGUGGGUUAGUGGCUUACCAAGGCUUUGACGGGUAGCCGGCCUGAGAGGGCGACCGGCCACAUUGGGACUGAGAUACGGCCCAGACUCCUACGGGAGGCAGCAGUGGGGAAUAUUGCACAAUGGGCGGAAGCCUGAUGCAGCAACGCCGCGUGCGGGAUGACGGCCUUCGGGUUGUAAACCGCUUUCAGCAGGGACGAAGCUUGAGUGACGGUAACGGGAGAAGAAGCACCGGCUAACUACGUG